Molecule: long non-coding RNA, 906 nt
Filed under: Oryctolagus cuniculus (rabbit)
Lineage: Eukaryota; Metazoa; Chordata; Mammalia; Lagomorpha; Leporidae
Description: lncRNA (ENSOCUG00000036508.1)
Source: RNAcentral
UUAAUGAAGAAUGGGAUGGGAGAAGGAGUAGGAGGUGGGAUGGGAGUGGGGGUGGUAGGUGGGUAUGGGGGAAGAACCACUACAUUUCUAUAGUUGUACCUAUGAAAUUUGCAUUCACUAAAUAAAUGCUUUAAAAAUUAAAAAAAUAAAGAAACACUAUAGACUCAAGAGCUUGAUUGUGACCCUCAAUCAGUAUGUGUUAGAGGUAUUCAUAGAAAGCUGAUGUGGAAGAAGUGGACUUUGUGGACUAGCACCUGAGCUAGUCUGAGAGAAGGGAUAAGAGCUGGCAGGUGGUAGUGGAGGGAGAGUGCACUUCAGGUAGUAUUAGUAUUUCUAUAGGAAGAACCUUUGACUGCAGAGAUCGUUCAUUUUGUUCUUUACAAUAGUUUUCAUAUUCUAAUUUUAAUCCAUGUGAAUAACAUUGGGUAAGUUACUUAGCCACUCUUGUCCUGUGUUUCUUUAGCAGCAAGGAGGGAAUAACAAAGCAAGUCUGCAUUAUAGGGAAACCGGGAGGCAUCGUGAAUUCGAACAUUAUAAAGGGUUUUAUUCACAUAAAGGGGAAGAAGAAUAUGCUCCACAAAAUUCUACAGCCGGAAUUUCAAAGCAUCAUUGUUGCCUAAUGAUGGUUUCAGCUUUGCCCUCAGUGGAUCUAUAGUUGGAGUUUUGAAACUGAAAAAAUAUCUUUGUUAUGUUUUGCCUGGAUCAAAGCACACAUAAAGCCUGAUCAAAUGGAAAAAAAAGAGAAAGAUACAGAUGCAUGCUGGACUCUUCAGAAUAGUCGUGGGUUUCCAAGGGAGAUUCAAGGAGGCCUUCAGGAGCCAUGGUGUAUUUAUUCUCAUCUCCCUUCCACGGGUUAAUCUGAUGAUCUGCACAGUGUUUCCUAAAGAGCAAGACUUCAUGGAAUAA